AGAGUUUGAUCCUGGCUCAGGAUGAACGCUAGCGGCAGGCUUAAUACAUGCAAGUCGAGGGGCAGCGCGGGUAGCAAUACUUGGCGGCGACCGGCAAACGGGUGCGGAACACGUACGCAACCUUCCUUUAAGUGGGGGAUAGCCCAGGGAAACUUGGAUUAAUACCCCUUAACAUUAUGAAGUGGCAUCACUUUAUAAUU
This 200-nucleotide ribosomal RNA is filed under the name uncultured bacterium. Its description in RNAcentral is "partial 16S ribosomal RNA". It matches the Rfam family "Bacterial small subunit ribosomal RNA", at positions 8 to 202 of the family's 1533-position model. The record is from RNAcentral.